Fundulus heteroclitus (mummichog) is the source of this 747-nucleotide long non-coding RNA. RefSeq lists it as uncharacterized. Lineage: Eukaryota; Metazoa; Chordata; Actinopteri; Cyprinodontiformes; Fundulidae. The record is from RefSeq and is a predicted model, not a curated record. The transcript is spliced from 6 exons.
CUGAGCAACGUUUUCAUUUUUUUUCUUUAACAGCGACAACAUUCUGCAGUCCGUCAAAGCAGAAAUUAUUCUUACAGGUUCUGAGAUUAAGGACCUGGAAAAGAAGUUGCAGACUGGUGACAUUCUGUCAAACAGAAUGUACCUGUGGAAACACAAAGGCUUUGAUCCAGACCUUAGAAGGUUAUACAGUGAGCAUGUCACCACUUUUGAUGACAUGAUGACAGAGGUUCUCAUCACACGGCUUGAAAACAUUCUGUAUGUCCCUGGCAGUGGAGAUGUUGACCAACACAUGGUCACAGAGGUGAUUCUGCCUGAGAUUGUCAUCCAGUGGCUGCAAAAUAACAACCUUUGCCGCUACCAACCAGAGAUGAUGUUCAUAAAUACCGUGAAGAAAAAUGAGGGACUUUCGGAAGCCUAGGAAGAAGAAGACACAGAAAAGGGAAGCCCAUUCAUUGUCGAUAGUCAGGCUGCAGCUGACUGGUGCAGAGAACAACAAUUUAGUGGAAGAAUAACACUUCCUGUUGUUCUGGAUAUGGACGAGCUAGAACAAGCAGAAGCUCUUGAAGCCCUCAAGACAUGGGAUGAAGAGUAUAAUGAAUAUUCUCCAGCGGAGCAUUUUACUUUUGUUUUUGAAAAGAAGGAGGACUAUGACAAGUUCUGUUUGUACAUUGUCGAUGUAAAAAAAACUAAAAGUUUUUGCAAGAUUUGAAGAACUUCAGUAAAUAAAGACUUUUACAAGUAACCAUA